GUUGGGGGUGUUUCCUGUUUCAACAAACAACUUCCAGCUGGAUGAAAACAUGUUGACACACAUGUCCAGUUUGCUUUUGUAGUUUUAGACUCUGGUUUAGCUGGAAGCGGAGAGAACGUCCCGUCUACUGACUCAGAUCAGCUUCAGCUCUGCCUUCCAAUAGAUACACAUAAUACUGAAUCAAUAAACUGCUGCUGUAGAAGCUGAACCUUCCUGUCGUUGGAUUCGUUGACUCUGGAUCAGAACACAAUGUGAGGUUGUGUAAUGGAGUAAUGUGGGAGUAGUGUUUGUGUUGUGUUGGGAAACCGGCUGUAAUCACUGAGUGGAAGACAACUUUAAAUAUAUCUAUAUUUAAAUAAAGGUAAAGGCGUUUCCAUA
Long non-coding RNA from Sebastes umbrosus (honeycomb rockfish), 378 nucleotides. RefSeq lists it as uncharacterized. The record is from RefSeq and is a predicted model, not a curated record. Lineage: Eukaryota; Metazoa; Chordata; Actinopteri; Perciformes; Sebastidae. The transcript is spliced from 2 exons.